CUUGGUCAUUUAGAGGAAGUAAAAGUCGUAACAAGGUUUCCGUAGGUGAACCUGCGGAAGGAUCAUUAUUGAAAUAAACCUGAUGAGUUGCUGCUGGUUCUCUAGGGAGCAUGUGCACACUUGUCGUCUUUAUAUUUCCACCUUGUGCACCUUUUGUAGACCUGGAUAUCUCUCUGAAUGCACACAAGCAUUUGGGUUUGAGGGGUUGACUUUUUUGGUCUCCCUUUAUAUUUCCAGGCCUAUGUUUCUUUCAUAUACCCCACUUGUGUUAUAGAAUGUAAUAAAAUGGGCCUUUGUGCCUGUAAAGCUAUACAACUUUCAGCAACGGAUCUCUUGGCUCUCGCAUCGAUGAAGAACGCAGCGAAAUGCGAUAAGUAAUGUGAAUUGCAGAAUUCAGUGAAUCAUCGAAUCUUUGAACGCACCUUGCGCUCCUUGGUAUUCCGAGGAGCAUGCCUGUUUGAGUGUCAUUAAUAUAUCAACCUCCUCAACUUGUGUUGAGUGUUGGAUGUGGGGGUUCUUUCUUUGCUGGCUUCACGGUCAGCUCCCCUGAAAUGCAUUAGCGGAACAACCUGUUCACUGUUCAUUGGCGUGAUAACUAUCUACGCUGCUUGUUGACAGUGAAGCAAGUUCAGCUUCUAACAGUCCAUUAAAUUGGACAAAUUUUUAUUAAUGUGACCUCAAAUCAGGUAGGACUACCCGCUGAACUUAAGCAUAUCAAUAAGCGGAGGA
This 729-nucleotide ribosomal RNA is filed under the name uncultured fungus. RNAcentral describes it as "eukaryotic LSU rRNA". The stretch from base 314 to 467 matches the Rfam family "5.8S ribosomal RNA". The record is from RNAcentral. Lineage: Eukaryota; Fungi.